Molecule: long non-coding RNA, 142 nt
Organism: Hibiscus syriacus
Lineage: Eukaryota; Viridiplantae; Streptophyta; Magnoliopsida; Malvales; Malvaceae
Exons: 3
Source: RefSeq, a predicted model, not a curated record
UAUAUAUAUAUAUAUAUAUUACUUAAUUUAAGAUAUGGUUUCAAACAUAAAUCAGUCAUUAUAACUGACAGAUAAAACUUCAACAAAAUCCAAGCAAUAAAAUACUCAUAAAGCAACAUACUUGUCAAAUCAAGAAGACAUG